RNAcentral lists this small RNA (579 nucleotides) under Pan troglodytes (chimpanzee). RNAcentral describes it as "retained intron". The record is from RNAcentral. Lineage: Eukaryota; Metazoa; Chordata; Mammalia; Primates; Hominidae.
AUUGAUUCAUUCAUUCGUUCAGCAAAUAGUCAUGGAGAGUCUACUAUGCCCAACAAGAGGAAAAACCCGUGAUGCCUGAGAGUCUAAAAUUGUGUUAGUGAUUCACUGACCUGCAGAAAUUUGUGGGAGUGACUUCUUUGGACCUCUGUAUUGUAUUCCACCUCAGCAUGUUUAUGUCUGAUGAUAGCUAUAUGUGUAAAGCAUUAGUAAAUGUGAAAAUCUAAUGCACAAAUUAUUGUGGCUUUUCAUUCUAGAAUUAUAAGAGACCAUGGAUUAAUCAACCUUAGAAAGUUUCAAUUAAUGGAACGGCGGUAUCCCAAGGAGGUCCAGGACCUGUAUGAAACAAUGAGGCGAUUUGCAAGAAUUGUGGGGCCAGUGGAACAUGACAAAUUCAUUGAAAGCCAUGCCUUGGAAUUUGAACUCCGAAGGGAAAUCAAGAGGCUCCAAGAAUACAGGACAGCAGGCAUUACCAAUUUUUGUAGUGCCAGAACCUACGAUCACCUCAAGAAGACACGGGAGGAAGAGCGCCUUAAACGCACUAUGCUCUCAGAAGUUCUCCAGUAUAUCCAGGACAGUAGU